CCCUACGGGGUGCAGCAUGCGCGAAAACUUUACAAUGCUGGAAACAGCGAUAAGGGGACCUCGAGUGCCAGGUUACAAAUCUGGCUGUCGCGAUGCCUAAAAAGCAUUGCAUAGCAAGGGCCGGGCAAGACCGGUGCCAGCCGCCGCGGUAACACCGGCGGCUCGAGUGGUAACCGUUAUUAUUGGGUCUAAAGGGUCUGUAGCCGGCCGGGUAAGUCUCUUGGGAAAUCCAGCAGCUCAACUGUUGGGCUUUCAGGAGAUACUGCCUGGCUCGAGGCCGGGAGAGGUGAGAGGUACUUCAGGGGUAGGGGUGAAAUCUUGUAAUCCUUGAAGGACCACCAGUGGCGAAGGCGCCUCAUCAGAACGGACCUGACGGCAAGGGACGAAAGCUAGGGGCACGGACCGGAUUAGAUACCCGGGUAGUCCUAGCCGUAAACGAUACUCGCUAGGUGUCGGCCACGGUGCGACCGUGGUCGGUGCCGUAGGGAAGCCGUGAAGCGAGCCACCUGGGAAGUACGGCCGCAAGGCUGAAACUUAAAGGAAUUGGCGGGGGAGCAC
This 558-nucleotide ribosomal RNA is filed under the name uncultured archaeon. RNAcentral's name for it is "bacterial SSU rRNA". It matches the Rfam family "Archaeal small subunit ribosomal RNA", at positions 321 to 879 of the family's 1478-position model. The record is from RNAcentral.